GGAUUUCCUGCUGCUCCUUGGUGUGGUGGGAGUUUGCACUGGAUUGCUGCUGGAUAUCCUGAGGUGAAGCACAUUCCUGCUACAUGUGAGGGCUACAAGCCCUUCUGUUUGCACCGAGGGGAGUGUGAACGGGCGAGGGCUGCAGCGGAGCCCCUUGCGGCGAGGAUCAGCGCAAACCUUCAAGCAGCUACAGCAGUAGUAAGGUCUAUGGUUCCCUGCAGCGGAAGGACACGGAGCUGUGAAGAUGAAGGUGGGGCCGGAGAGACUCUGGGAGGUCAUAUCAUGAGAAGGACUUUGCUGCAGGGGAGCACAAGGCCCAGAGAGUCUGGAUGGGGCUUUAAGUGACCUCGUUUAAAUGUCCAGGGCCGGAGGGAGGAGUAUUGCGGUGUGAAGCCAUAGGAGGCCUUACAGAUGGAGGUCCCGGUGCGGUCGAUGCCGGAAGCUGCAGCGACGAAGCAGGACCGCGCUUAGGAAGGUGCAGGUUGAAGCGACCGCCGAUGGAGCGGGCUGACCCUCCUUCCUGCGGUGAGCGUGCCUGGUGUUGGUGGUUUUUGAGACGUGACAGAACGUGGCCCUUUCCCGGGUCUAUCGAGCAGCAUCGACUCAGUUUGGUUGGCUUCCUUUCAUCUUCUGGCGGCAUUAGCGGUACCUGCGAUGGGUGUUGGCUGGACUGUGUGCCGCGUCUGUCCUCUCACCAGGAGUCUGGAUUGCCCGGGAUCCCAGGAGGCGAAGAGCUCAGCGUUGGCAGUUCUGAUGCUGGAGGUGGCUUGGUGGCAGCUUGCUGUCCUUGGAUUCCUGGUGAAGCCGGCUCAGUACACGUGGCAGGGCCUCGAGUAGUGCUUCAGAAGCGGAGGAAGCUGGCUGCUUGGUUGUUCUCUGCUUGUUUUUCUUUUUUGGGGAAAUACUCCGAGUCCUGCAAGCACAAAGGAAAAAAAGUAAAACAAAUGCUUCUCAGAUUGCGUACCUUCUACUAACAGAUAUGUGCCAGAUGAUGUGUACUUAGAUGUAGGUGCAAAUAGGUGGCACCAAUAGCUCUGAAGGAAAAGGAAACGAAGACUUGCUGCUGGAACUGCUCUAUGUAACUUACUUUCCUGUGGGCUUGCAGGUUAACUUCAUUGUAUUUGUGGAUGACAGCAAAGAGAUGCUGCUAAGUUAUCUUAAAACUUACAGGGAAGAAAAACUGCUCUUGCUAAGCAACACACCUUAAAUGGAUUCUUGUGACUGCGUACCUAGUUUUCCAGACAGCCGUUGAAGAGACUGCUCACUAGCAUAAGACAGGUCCAAAGGAGCUGUUGCAGGUGACAAAAAAAAGGCACUUAUAUGUCAAGAGGCGUGUGCAAAAGGAUUGCCAUUCACCCUUGCAAAAUGAACUCUGACUCUGCUAUAUUUUGUGCUCCCUUAAACUGAAUUAACGGAAAGAAAUAAGGUGGCUGCAUUGGAAGAUGCUUGCUAUUAAAUAGCAAUUGGUGGGAGCAGCCCAAGUGGUGCUCGUAAUGUGUGUGGCAGCAAGAAUUCCUAAACCUCUAAGAGAAGAUGGAGAUGGGAAGCAGCGAAUGCGUCCAGUUAGUGAGUGGCUUGAUACUUCUGCUCUUUGUGCGGCUGCUGCUGUAUUACAUUACAUAGAUUAAUAAUAUUGUAAUUCAGUACUUCUUCCCUUGCAAAUAACUUCUUGCAGUGUUCUUUUCUGCGAUGAUAUUUGAAUGCGGCUUUUGCCCAAGAGCUGUGACUUCAGCUGCCAAAAUCCUGUAGUGCUACUGUGGUCACAUCCUGUGACAGGAAAUGGCUUGCAGGAAAAAAAAAACUGGCCACUUGGACUGCUUAAUAAUGUUAAUGAAGUUUGUUCACCCUGGGUGUUUCAUGCUGCUGUCUACUUAUUUCCAAAUGGAUGCCCUACUCUGAAAUAUUCUGUAGGAAAUAAAAGAAGUGAAAUCAAAAGGUGAGGUGAACAGCUAGAGAGCAGUGCUGCUGUCAAAAAGAAUCUCGAUGAGAACCCGAAAGAAAAGCUCACUUGAAUGAAGCUCACUAAGGUACAAACUCUGCUUUAUCCUUUAGAAGUAAGAUUCUCACUUACCCGCGUUGCCUGGGGAAGAGAACUGGGCUGGGGACGCUGCAAUUUCAACUCUGCUUGCUGUUCUAGCGCGUCUGAUUCAAAGGUGGACUCCUGGCACGAUGGAGCAGCUGAGUUCAGACUUCUCUUCUGGGGAGUUUGAUGGAAGGCUGGACAAGGCUCCGAAUGACCCGAUCUACCUCUAGGUGACCGGGAUAGGCACCAGGAAGCUGGACCAGGUGGCCUUUGACGGUCCCCCUCGCUCCCAGUGACUUGAAAACUGCAUUAAGUCAGACAGCGCUUCAAGAAAAGGGAAUCUUGGAGAUAUGCUAGCAGUAAUUUAAUGAUGUCAUUGAGUAAACUGUUUUUUUCAAUGUAGUUGAAAUGAUUACUUAAACUGUAAGAGCCAGUUACAUUGAUGUUAGUAACAAUGAUGAAUACUGUUCAGUUUUCUUGUACAGCAGUAAGUAUGCUGUAGUUUAGAUACCUUUCCUGUAUAACAUCCAGGUGCUAUUGCAUUUGUUUUAAACAGUUCUGGCAUGGCUGUAUGUUUAUCAGAAAAUGGAAAAAGACCCUGCUUUGUAACACUUAGCUGAUUUUACACCUUUGUAAUAACUUCACUGACUCAAUAAACUGUUUUUACAGCUGUGGUAAUA
Molecule: long non-coding RNA, 2703 nt
Organism: Lagopus leucura (white-tailed ptarmigan)
Lineage: Eukaryota; Metazoa; Chordata; Aves; Galliformes; Phasianidae
Exons: 9
Source: RefSeq, a predicted model, not a curated record